Molecule: ribosomal RNA, 1416 nt
Filed under: metagenome
Description: bacterial LSU rRNA
Rfam family: Bacterial large subunit ribosomal RNA
Source: RNAcentral
AAGCCGGGAAUGGAAAGCCCGGUGCAAGCGGGGUACCAGUCACUCUGGCAAAUCCGGGUGGCAAUGGGAAGCCGUGAUGCGGAGUGAAAUAAAGUAACGAAGUCCGUGAGCCAUGCGUCAAGAAAAGCCGCUUUUGUUUAUACCGUACCCGUACCGUAAACCGACACAGGUGGAUGAGGAGAGAAUCCUAAGGCCGGCGGAAGAAGCAUUGUCAAGGAACUCGGCAAAAUGGCCCCGUAACUUAGGGAUAAGGGGUGCCUGGGAAACCAGGCCGCAGAGAAUAGGCUCAAGCAACUGUUUAGCAAAAACACAGGUCUAUGCGAAACCGAAAGGUGAGGUAUAUGGGCUGACGCCUGCCCGGUGCUGGAAGGUUAAGAGGAGAGGUUAGCGCAAGCGAAGCUUUGAAUUUAAGCCCCAGUAAACGGCGGCCGUAACAAUAACGGUCCUAAGGUAGCGAAAUUCCUUGUCGGGUAAGUUCCGACCCGCACGAAAGGCGUAAUGAUUUGAGCGCUGUCUCGACAAUGCAUCCGGUGAAAUUGAAGUACCAGUGAAGAUGCUGGUUACCUGCGCCAGGACGGAAAGACCCCAUGGAGCUUUACUCCAGUUUGGUACUGGGACUCGGUAUUGCAUGUACAGGAUAGGUGGGAGGCUGAGAGACAGUAACGCCAGUUAUUGUGGAGCCGCUGUUGGGAUACCACCCUUGCAGUAUUGGGUUUCUAACCAGCCGCCGUGACCCGGCGGUGGGACAAUGCCAGACGGGGAGUUUGACUGGGGCGGUCGCCUCCGAAAGGGUAUCGGAGGCGCCCAAAGGUUCCCUCAGAAUGGACGGAAACCAUUCGAAGAGUGCAAAGGCAGAAGGGAGCUUGACUGCGACACCGACGGGUGGAGCAGGUACGAAAGUAGGGCUUAGUGAUCCGGUGGUAUUAAGUGGGAAUGCCAUCGCUCAACGGAUAAAAGCUACCCUGGGAUAACAGGCUUAUCACUCCCAAGAGUUCACAUCGACGGAGUGGUUUGGCACCUCGAUGUCGGCUCAUCGCAUCCUGGGGCUGUAGUAGGUCCCAAGGGUUGGGCUGUUCGCCCAUUAAAGCGGUACGCGAGCUGGGUUCAGAACGUCGUGAGACAGUUCGGUCCCUAUCCGGCGUGGGCGUAGGAUAUCUGAGAGGAGCUGUCCUUAGUACGAGAGGACCGGGAUGGACGGGCCGCUGGUGCAUCGGUUAGACUGCCAAGUCUACGGCCGAGUAGCCAAGCCCGGAAGGGAUAAACGCUGAAGGCAUCUAAGCGUGAAGCCCCCCUUAAGAUGAGAUAUCCCAUUCGAAAGAAGUAAACCCCCUUGAAGACGACGAGGUAGAUAGGGCAGAGGUGGAAGUGUGGCAACACAUGGAGCUGACUGUUACUAAUCGGGUGAGGGCUUGAUCU